AUUGGAGGGCAAGUCUGGUGCCAGCAGCCGCGGUAAUUCCAGCUCCAAGAGCGUAUAUUAAAGUUGUUGCAGUUAAAAAGCUCGUAGUUGAACCUUGGGGGCACUGCGCCGGUCCGCCGCAAGGCGAGCACUGGAGGCGGCGCCCCUUUCCUCUGUCGUCUCCCCUUGUGGGGGGUGACAGAAUAUUACUUUGAGUAAAUGAGAGUGUUCAAAGCAGGCGCACGCUUGAAUCUGUUAGCAUGGAAUAAUAGAAUAGGACGCAUGGUUCUAUUUUGUUGGUUUCUAGGACCAUCGUAAUGAUUAAUAGGGACGGUCGGGGGCAUCAGUAUUCAGUUGUCAGAGGUGAAAUUCUUGGAUUUACUGAAGACUAACUACUGCGAAAGCAUUUGCCAAGGACGUUUUCAUUAAUCAAGAACGAAAGUUAGGGGAUCGAAGAUGAUCAGAUACCGUCGUAGUCUUAACCAUAAACUAUGCCGACUAGGGAUCGG
RNAcentral lists this ribosomal RNA (488 nucleotides) under Candidozyma haemuli. RNAcentral describes it as "SSU rRNA". It matches the Rfam family "Eukaryotic small subunit ribosomal RNA", at positions 547 to 1056 of the family's 1831-position model. The record is from RNAcentral. Lineage: Eukaryota; Fungi; Ascomycota; Pichiomycetes; Serinales; Metschnikowiaceae.